AAAGUACAAAAUCAGGGAACCUGGGAAGGAGGGUGCUGGGUCUCAGCAUCGUUAGCUAUCCAUAUGGACCCUGAUGUUGCAGGGCGUUUACACCUCCCUUGAAGCACGGGUAGAGCUAUCCCAUUGCUGUGAUAUCCUCUGCUGAAUGGGAGCUCUUUUGGAGGAUUUCUCUGCCAUGUAAAGCCAGAUCUAAAGCCCAUUGAGUUAAACUGGCUUCUGAUCAGACCUUACAACAUCCUCCCAUGCUAGCAAAGCCAGCACAUAUUUUAGCUGCAGUAUUAGGCGCUCAGUAAGUGCAUUAGACAACUAGACUAAUUUAUAAUACUUCAGGGUGUGUGUUUGUACAGGUAUGUCUGCUGGCAACCACUGUGAUUCAUCUAGACAGACCCAGUAUGCAGCAUGCAAACUCCUGAUGCAUUCUGUGCUCUCUGAAUGAAAACUCCCCCUUUAGAAAAUGUGACUGUUUUUUCCUCUUUUUCAACAGAAAUUAAAUGUGCUGUUGGUACAGAGGUUUAGGUGCCAAAUAAAUGAGAGGCAAUAAAAAUAAUGCUGCUGAGAAAGUGGCAGGAGACCUAGUGAGAGGAAAGAUACUUGCUAACAGAGCAAAGGGAAACUAAAUUAACGUCGCUGCCAGUCAGAGGCUGGGUCUGACCGUGCUCCUUCGGCUCCUGCAGUUCUGCUGUGCCAGGGGACUUCGUGAAUGACUGCAGACGAUAUGCUCAGUAUUCUUCAGACUUUAAUCCAGGAGCAGUUAUUCUCAGGCUAGAAGAAGCACAACACACAGAGAACAGCUUUAUCCUCACCUGCCAUUUCUUGUCACACUCCCACGAUCUUUCCUUCAGGUGAUCUGGAAGCAGACGGUGAUGUGCGCUCCUUUGGGUGACUGCUAUAUCAAGGAGAGGUGACGUAUCAGUGGGUGUAUUUUUCUGAUCAUGCUCUGAAUGUCUGCUGGACAGGGAAAGUAUUAUUUGAGAAAUGUUUUUCCCCCAAGGAACUCCUCAACUAAUGCAACAGAAUAGUGAAACUUUCUAGACAAAAUCUGAG
This 1044-nucleotide long non-coding RNA is filed under the name Struthio camelus australis. RNAcentral describes it as "lncRNA (ENSSCUG00000004132.1)". The record is from RNAcentral. Lineage: Eukaryota; Metazoa; Chordata; Aves; Struthioniformes; Struthionidae.